GAUGAACGCUAGCUACAGGCUUAACACAUGCAAGUCGAGGGGCAGCAUGGUCUUAGCUUGCUAAGGCCGAUGGCGACCGGCGCACGGGUGAGUAACACGUAUCCAACCUGCCGUCUACUCUUGGACAGCCUUCUGAAAGGAAGAUUAAUACAAGAUGGCAUCAUGAGUCCACAUGUUCACAUGAUUAAAGGUAUUCCGGUAGACGAUGGGGAUGCGUUCCAUUAGAUAGUAGGCGGGGUAACGGCCCACCUAGUCUUCGAUGGAUAGGGGUUCUGAGAGGAAGGUCCCCCACAUUGGAACUGAGACACGGUCCAAACUCCUACGGGAGGCAGCAGUGAGGAAUAUUGGUCAAUGGGCGAGAGCCUGAACCAGCCAAGUAGCGUGAAGGAUGACUGCCCUAUGGGUUGUAAACUUCUUUUAUAAAGGAAUAAAGUCGGGUAUGGAUACCCGUUUGCAUGUACUUUAUGAAUAAGGAUCGGCUAACUCCGUGCCAGCAGCCGCGGUAAUACGGAGGAUCCGAGCGUUAUCCGGAUUUAUUGGGUUUAAAGGGAGCGUAGAUGGAUGUUUAAGUCAGUUGUGAAAGUUUGCGGCUCAACCGUAAAAUUGCAGUUGAUACUGGAUAUCUUGAGUGCAGUUGAGGCAGGCGGAAUUCGUGGUGUAGCGGUGAAAUGCUUAGAUAUCACGAAGAACUCCGAUUGCGAAGGCAGCCUGCUAAGCUGCAACUGACAUUGAGGCUCGAAAGUGUGGGUAUCAAACAGGAUUAGAUACCCUGGUAGUCCACACGGUAAACGAUGAAUACUCGCUGUUUGCGAUAUACAGCAAGCGGCCAAGCGAAAGCGUUAAGUAUUCCACCUGGGGAGUACGCCGGCAACGGUGAAACUCAAAGGAAUUGACGGGGGCCCGCACAAGCGGAGGAACAUGUGGUUUAAUUCGAUGAUACACGAGGAACCUUACCCGGGCUUAAAUUGCAGAUGAAUUACGGUGAAAGCCGUAAGCCGCAAGGCAUCUGUGAAGGUGCUGCAUGGUUGUCGUCAGCUCGUGCCGUGAGGUGUCGGCUUAAGUGCCAUAACGAGCGCAACCCUUGUUGUCAGUUACUAACAGGUUCCGCUGAGGACUCUGACAAGACUGCCAUCGUAAGAUGUGAGGAAGGUGGGGAUGACGUCAAAUCAGCACGGCCCUUACGUCCGGGGCUACACACGUGUUACAAUGGGGGGUACAGAGGGCCGCUACCACGCGAGUGGAUGCCAAUCCCAAAAACCUCUCUCAGUUCGGACUGGAGUCUGCAACCCGACUCCACGAAGCUGGAUUCGCUAGUAAUCGCGCAUCAGCCACGGCGCGGUGAAUACGUUCCCGGGCCU
RNAcentral lists this ribosomal RNA (1358 nucleotides) under uncultured bacterium. RNAcentral's name for it is "bacterial SSU rRNA". It matches the Rfam family "Bacterial small subunit ribosomal RNA", at positions 28 to 1381 of the family's 1533-position model. The record is from RNAcentral.